UACGUAGGGUGCGAGCGUUGUCCGGAAUUACUGGGCGUAAAGAGCUCGUAGGUGGUUUGUCGCGUUGUCCGUGAAAACUCACAACUCAAUUGUGGGCGUGCGGGCGAUACGGGCAGACUGGAGUACUGCAGGGGAGACUGGAAUUCCUGGUGUAGCGGUGAAAUGCGCAGAUAUCGGGAGGAACACCAGUGGCGAAGGCGGUUGCCUGGGCCACUACUGACGCUGAGAAGCGAAAGCAUGGGGAGCGAACAGG
This 253-nucleotide ribosomal RNA is filed under the name uncultured bacterium. RNAcentral's name for it is "partial 16S ribosomal RNA". It matches the Rfam family "Bacterial small subunit ribosomal RNA", at positions 524 to 776 of the family's 1533-position model. The record is from RNAcentral.